GUGGGGAAUCUUCCGCAAUGGACGAAAGUCUGACGGAGCAACGCCGCGUGAGUGAAGAAGGUUUUCGGAUCGUAAAGCUCUUUCGUUAGGGACGAACGUGCUCUUUGUGAAUAAUGAGGAGUAAUGACGGUACCUAAAUAAGAAGCCACGGCUAACUACGUGCCAGCAGCCGCGGUAAUACGUAGGUGGCAAGCGUUGUCCGGAAUUAUUGGGCGUAAAGCGCGCGCAGGCGGGAUAUCAAGUCUGUCUUAAAAGUGCGAGGCUCAACCUCGUGAGGGGACGGAAACUGGUAUUCUUGAGUGUCGGAGAGGAAAGUGGAAUUCCAAGUGUAGCGGUGAAAUGCGUAGAGAUUUGGAAGAACACCAGUGGCGAAGGCGACUUUCUGGACGAUGUCUGACGCUGAGGCGCGAAAGCUAGGGGAGCGAACGGGAUUAGAAACCCUGGUAGUCC
This 450-nucleotide ribosomal RNA is filed under the name uncultured bacterium. RNAcentral's name for it is "partial 16S ribosomal RNA". It matches the Rfam family "Bacterial small subunit ribosomal RNA", at positions 354 to 796 of the family's 1533-position model. The record is from RNAcentral.